This is a long non-coding RNA of Trachemys scripta elegans, 601 nucleotides long. RefSeq lists it as uncharacterized. The transcript has 3 exons. The record is from RefSeq and is a predicted model, not a curated record. Lineage: Eukaryota; Metazoa; Chordata; Testudines; Emydidae.
GCCCUGCAAACAUCUAGAAACCAAGCCUUGAGGCGAAGAAUGCCCCAGUUGGCAUGUGUCAGGUGUCCAGCACUCAGAGAGGAGUUGAGGGAUGGCUGGAAGAUCUAUCGGAGGACAGAAAGCCAGGUGAAACAGGCAUUAGUGUGGAUUUUUCUACAUUCAGCUGGAGGCCCAGGUCCAAAAACGGGGAAAGCACUGUCCUUGUGGCAGACAACAUUUCUUGGCAGACAACAAUUCAAGUAGCCAGUCGUUGAAGUACGGGACUACCACUAUAGCCUGGCAACACAGAAGUAUAGGUGCCUAAUGAGCGAAAUGUAGCCCUGGAAACUUUAAAGACUCAUCAAUGUUCUUUGCAAACAACUUCCGUCCAUCAAAUGGGAGAGCCUCAACCGUUUAUGAACUUCCUGGGGAAGCCAGAUAACUGCAGCCAGGAUGCCCUACAAUGAACUGCCAACAUCACCAUCCAUCAUCAAAGGCUAUAGAUGCUAACAUUUGACAAGACAUGAAAGUCCAGGAUUGCAAUGGAAAAGAAGAUCAAAAUAAAAAUGUGCCAUGUGGAGGAGAGGGGGAAAUGGACCUCAUGCUUCUGCAUUUCUGAUAG